RNAcentral lists this ribosomal RNA (258 nucleotides) under uncultured bacterium. Its description in RNAcentral is "partial 16S ribosomal RNA". It matches the Rfam family "Bacterial small subunit ribosomal RNA", at positions 524 to 776 of the family's 1533-position model. The record is from RNAcentral.
UACGGAGGGUGCGAGCGUUGUCCGGAUUUAUUGGGUUUAAAGGGUGCGUAGGUGGGUUAAUAAGUCAGUGGUGAAAUACGGUUGCUCAACAAUCGAGGUGCCAUUGAUACUGUUAAUCUUGAAACAAGUGGAGGUUGCCGGAAUGGAUGGUGUAGCGGUGAAAUGCAUAGAUAUCAUCCAGAACACCGAUUGCGAAGGCAGGUGACUACGUUUUGAUUUUGACACUGAGGCACGAAAAGCAUGGGGGAGCAAAACAGG